UACGGAGGGUGCAAGCGUUGUUCGGAUUUAUUGGGCGUAAAGCGCGUGUAGGCGGUUUCUUAAGUCUGAUGUGAAAGCCCCGGGCUCAACCCGGGAAGUGCAUUGGAUACUGGGAGACUUGAAUACGGGAGAGGGUAGUGGAAUUCCUAGUGUAGGAGUGAAAUCCGUAGAUAUUAGGAGGAACACCGGUGGCGAAGGCGGCUACCUGGACCGAUAUUGACGCUGAGACGCGAAAGCGUGGGGAGCAAAUAGG
This 253-nucleotide ribosomal RNA is filed under the name uncultured bacterium. RNAcentral's name for it is "partial 16S ribosomal RNA". It matches the Rfam family "Bacterial small subunit ribosomal RNA", at positions 524 to 776 of the family's 1533-position model. The record is from RNAcentral.